This 253-nucleotide ribosomal RNA is filed under the name uncultured bacterium. Its description in RNAcentral is "partial 16S ribosomal RNA". It matches the Rfam family "Bacterial small subunit ribosomal RNA", at positions 524 to 776 of the family's 1533-position model. The record is from RNAcentral.
UACGUAGGGGGCAAACGUUAUCCGGAUUUACUGGGUGUAAAGGGAGCGUAGACGGUUAUGCAAGUCAGAAGUGAAAGCCCAAAGCUCAACUUCGGGACUGCUUUUGAAACUGUGUAACUAGAGUGCAGGAGGGGUAAGCGGAAUUCCUAGUGUAGCGGUGAAAUGCGUAGAUAUUAGGAGGAACACCGGCGGCGAAGGCGGCUUACUGGACUGUAACUGACGUUGAGGCUCGAAAGCGUGGGGAGCAAACAGG